Molecule: non-coding RNA, 1265 nt
Organism: Nicotiana tabacum (common tobacco)
Lineage: Eukaryota; Viridiplantae; Streptophyta; Magnoliopsida; Solanales; Solanaceae
Source: RefSeq, a predicted model, not a curated record
UAGCAGGGAGCCACUUCUCUUCUAUAUUUGCCAUUGUAUCAAGUUGCUCCUUUGUUUUGACCUUAUGUUCCAUAUAUUUCAAUAUUUCAUAAUAUCUUAUUACAUGCACUCUUAUCUUUUCUCCUUUCUUCCUUCUGCUUAUUUUUCUACUCCUAAAGAGGACGACCUUCAAACUUUGUAGUCAUGGGAAAUCAUUGUUAAGAAAGAAACUCUUAUUUUCAUUUGCCUCCAUAGCCACUAUAAAUGACCUACAUCUAUCUCUCGGUAAAAAUUACUUCAUUUACUUGAUUACUUCCAAGGCCACUAUAAAUGACUACUCUAACUACUCUAUCUCUUGAGUGAACCACUCUUUGUCCACAAAUGACUACUCUAACCAGUGUUGUCAAAGGCGAAAAGCUCUAAAAAGCGCUCUAGGUCAAUUGGGGCUUUAAGCGCAAAGCGCAAUUUAAGUGGGGGCUUUAGUUAAAAAAGGCGCAAUGCUAGAAAAAAUAAAAAUAUAUAUGUAAUUCAAUAGAAAAGUAACAAAUUCAUUUAUAUUGUUUUCCUUAACAACUAAUACAUUUAUUUGCCGAUUAUAUUUAUAGUCUAGCAUUGCUCCAUUCAAGAUAGAACUCAUGGGCAAUAAGGGGCAUGUCUUGGUGCUCUGCCUCAACUUAAGUGAGGCGAAGCGCCCUCCCUGAGCUUUUUUGAGCUUUAGGGCUUAAGUGCGCCUUAAAUGAGCCUUUGACAACAUUGACUCUAACUACUCUCUAUCUUGAGUUUACCACUCUUUGUCCGGAGACAUAUUGGCGCAACUGGCACACCACUUCUCAGUUUAAAAUUGAAAGAGAUGCAUCAGGAUACACCUUUUUGGUUCGUGAUUCCAAAAGGGUCACUCUAGUGAUGCAAAAGGAAAAGUGGCAAAUCUGAUAUUGCUCCAUGUAAAAGUGAAGCAUGAUACACCUUUUUGGUUCGUGAUUCCAAAGGGGUCACUUUAGUGAUGCAAAAGGAAAAGCGGCAAAUCUGAUAUUGCUCCAUGUAAAAGUGAAAUGUGUGAGUACUCCGACUCUUUGCUACAAAUAUUAACUACUUCCUAGUGUUCGGUGUUUGAAGUGCUCCCUUCCCCCACCUCUUUUACAUAAAGAGAGAAGUUGCAUCAGGAUACACCUUUUUGGUUCAUGAUUCCAAAAGUGUCACUUUAGUGAUGCAAAGGGAAAAGUGGCAAAUCUGAUAUUGCUCCAUGUAAAAGUGAAACAUGUGAAUACUUGGACUCUUUGCUACAAAUA